This 898-nucleotide ribosomal RNA is filed under the name Pratylenchus speijeri. RNAcentral's name for it is "SSU rRNA". It matches the Rfam family "Eukaryotic small subunit ribosomal RNA", at positions 30 to 926 of the family's 1831-position model. Lineage: Eukaryota; Metazoa; Nematoda; Chromadorea; Rhabditida; Pratylenchidae. The record is from RNAcentral.
GCUUGUCUCAAAGAUUAAGCCAUGCAUGUAUAAGUAUAAACGCAUUGAAGCGUGAAACCGCGAACGGCUCAUUACAACAGCUAUAAUUUACUUGAUCUUGACAUCCUACAUGGAUAACUGUGGUAAUUCUAGAGCUAAUACAUGCACCAAAGCUCCAACCCGCAAGGGAAGAGCGCAUUUAUUAGAACAAACCAAGCGGCUUCGGCUGCCCAACGUUGACUCAGAAUAACUAAGCUGAUCGCAUGGUCUUGUACCGGCGACGUGUCUUUCAAGUAUCUGCCUUAUCAACUUUCGAUGGUACUGUCAUUGACUACCAUGGUGGUGACGGGUAACGGAGGAUCAGGGUUCGACUCCGGAGAAGGGGCCUGAGAAAUGGCCACUACGUCUAAGGAUGGCAGCAGGCGCGCAAAUUACCCACUCUCAGAACAACUAGAGGAGGUAGUGACGAGAAAUAACGAGACCGUUCUCAACAGAGGCCGGUCAUCGGAAUGGGUACAAUUUAAACCCUUUAACGAGUAUCUAUGAGAGGGCAAGUCUGGUGCCAGCAGCCGCGGUAAUUCCAGCUCUCAAAAUGCAUAGAAUUAUUGCUGCGGUUAAAAAGCUCGUAGUUGGAUCUGUGCCAGCAUGCCGGUCCAUCUUCGGAUGCGUACUGGUUCAUUGCCGGCUUUCCUGCAGUUUGUCGGCUCUGUGCCCUUCACUGGGCGCAGUUGUUCGGUGCUGCAAGUUUACUUUGAACAAAUCAGAGUGCUCUAAACAGGCGUUUCGCUUGAAUGUUCGUGCAUGGAAUAAUAGAAGAGGAUUUCGGUUCUAUUUUAUUGGUUUUAUAGACUGAGAUAAUGGUUAACAGAGACAAACGGGGGCAUUCGUAUUGCUACGUGAGAGGUGAAAUUCUUGGACC